Molecule: ribosomal RNA, 253 nt
Filed under: uncultured bacterium
Lineage: Bacteria
Description: partial 16S ribosomal RNA
Rfam family: Bacterial small subunit ribosomal RNA
Source: RNAcentral
UACGGGGGGUGCAAGCGUUGUUCGGAAUUACUGGGCGUAAAGGGUGCGUAGGUGGCCAACUAAGUCAGACGUGAAAUCCCUCAGCUUAACUGGGGAACUGCGUCUGAGACUGGAUGGCUCGAGUGCAGGAGAGGAAUGCGGAAUUCCAGGUGUAGCGGUGAAAUGCGUAGAUAUCUGGAGGAACACCGGUGGCGAAGGCGGCAUUCUGGACUGCAACUGACACUGAACGACGAAAGCCAGGGGAGCAAACGGG